GAUGAACGCUGGCGGCGUGCCUAAUACAUGCAAGUCGAACGCUGGAGCUCUAGCUUGCUAGCUCGAAGGAGUGGCGAACGGGUGAGUAAUACAUAAGCAACCUACCCACGAAGACUGGGAUAAUCUCUGGAAACGGGGACUAAUACCGGAUAGGUAAUCGGAAGGCAUCUUCUGGUUAUUAAAGGUUAAAAACACUGGUGGAUGGGCUUAUGGCGCAUUAGUUAGUUGGUGAGGUAACGGCCCACCAAGACGAUGAUGCGUAGCCGGCCUGAGAGGGUGAACGGCCACAUUGGGACUGAGACACGGCCCAGACUCCUACGGGAGGCAGCAGUAGGGAAUUUUCGGCAAUGGGGGCAACCCUGACCGAGCAACGCCGCGUGAGUGAAGACGGCCUUCGGGUUGUAAAGCUCUGUUGUAAGGGAAGAACGGUAGAUAGAGAAUAUCUAAGUGACGGUACCUUACCAGAAAGCCACGGCUAACUACGUG
Molecule: ribosomal RNA, 486 nt
Filed under: uncultured bacterium
Lineage: Bacteria
Description: partial 16S ribosomal RNA
Rfam family: Bacterial small subunit ribosomal RNA
Source: RNAcentral